Salvia hispanica is the source of this 359-nucleotide non-coding RNA. NCBI's taxonomy places the organism in Eukaryota, Viridiplantae, Streptophyta, Magnoliopsida, Lamiales, Lamiaceae. The record is from RefSeq and is a predicted model, not a curated record.
CAGAACUUGAAGAAAUUGCCUAACUGCAUCUCAGAUGAAGUUACAAUUCUGCCUCUGCUCAGGAGAAUGAGUUUGUUAUCGCGUACUAUCUCUGGGAUGAGCUACAAUACAACCUUCUACAAGAGUUCUUCGGUCCAGAUUCGCCAGCCGAUGACGACAUGGGGGAAGUGGUUACUCCGCCAAAGCCUAAGUGAUAAAUUGAUUGAGGUUAUCGUGGUUAUGUCUGUCAAAGCUUAAUCGAUGAAUUUAUUAUAGGUUGUCGCGGUAAUCUUAUUGAUGCACAUUACUGUGUUUUAGUGGAUGUAGGAGUAAGAACUAUGUUUUAAUUUUGAUUUUGGAUCCACUAAUGUUUUGGUGUA